Nelumbo nucifera (sacred lotus) is the source of this 1617-nucleotide non-coding RNA. The record is from RefSeq and is a predicted model, not a curated record. Lineage: Eukaryota; Viridiplantae; Streptophyta; Magnoliopsida; Proteales; Nelumbonaceae.
AUCCACGUUCUGCAAGGAAGGAUCCUCUGUGACUGUGAGGGUUUUUUAAGUAGUUUGCUCCAGUUCCCGGAAUGGUGAAGACGACGGAAUUCCGGCGACGACGAAGAUAAGAGGUGAAUGCUUUGAUUGGACAUGAGCCUCCAAGAAGACUGUGAUUCCAACAUGAUCUUGAUUUAGCAAUAUGGCAUUGAAUUAGUAUGGCUAUUAAAUUUGAACUCCAUAUCAUUAUCAUCUAUUGGAUUAUCAGAAACGAAGUAGCUGAUCAGAGUCCAGAGAAAAGUCCAAGUUAGCCCACGGCAGAGUUCAACAACCGUUCAAAUCUUACCCAAGGUUCUAAAUUUUGGUUUUGCAAUAGAUUUCGACCUCCUCCAAAGAAUACGCUCGAAAUGAAGUAGCUAACUGUAUUCUUGAUCUCUUACACGUUGGAACAUUAAGUCAUUAUUCUUUCCUUCAAAAUUCUUAAGUUUCUGCAGUUUUUUUUUUUUUUUUAAUUGGUGAUUAUGGUUGAUGAUUGUGCCUUAUGAAGGGGAGAAAGUACCUUAUUAUCUUUAAUUUGUUUUUCUUUAAAUCUUGAAAAGUUGAUCCCUUGUGGUUCAAUCUUAUUAAAUUGAAAGGCUUUAUAUGAUUCCUUUUCACCUGUAUGUUACUGCUGCUUAACUUAGAUAAAUGCCUUGCUUCAAGUGGGAGACCAGGAACAAGAUUCUUUCCCACAACCCACUUGGUCCUGCCAACAUGAUAUUCUUGGUCAGCUGAUAAUAAAAAUGAUAUUCUUGGUCAAAAAUGGAUACAACUAAUUUCAGAUCACUAGGUGCAAGUGACCCUUUCCUGGUUCAAAAUUUCAGUUCCCACAAUCCUAAUCACUCAUUCUUUAAGUUCUUUUGGAAUCCUAAGAAACUUUAUCAAUAGUUUCACAGGGGAAUCUGAACUCUUAAGAGGAUUUUAAGAAAAGUUGACUUUCUGAGUUUGAUAUGGCAUCAUGUUGAGGUUUGGGAGCAUGCCUGGUAUUUUAUGAGUGUUAUAUCCUUCUAUGACUUUAUGUGGGAUGUUUAUGGCUGAACUCCUCAUCUUUCAGAAGAAAUCCAAAUGAUUUGGACAUUGGUGAGUUGGGUGGUCUACUCAGCAAACUAGCUGAGAAUGCUACACUUGAUUAUGUUAAAGACAGGAGAGUCUAGAAGUUGGAGCCAAGAGACAUGUUUUUCAAUUUGAUCAUUCUUUGCUGCCUUAUCUCACUAAGAAACUUUGGUGCCAAAUUGGCUUAUUUGGAAAUAUGCCGUCCUCUUGAAAAAGGUUUUGUUCCAUCAUUCUUUAGGAGUCCUUUAUGAUGGAUAAGUCGUUUGAUGAUAAGGUUGCUUUCCUUCUCAAUUUCCAUAGAUUGUGGCAAGCCAACGUAAGUGGGGUUACAAGCCACUUUAUUUUUUAGGAAAUUUGAAGUAGUUUGUUGUUUUGACAGAACAUGAAGGCUUUGUUUCUUAACAGUGUGAUGCAGGAGCUGAAGAGGCAAAAUUGGAAUUUUAUGAAAUUUUUAUGUAUUUCUGUAUUUUUGGACAGUAGGGGUAUUUUUUUGUCAUUUUUGCAAUUUUUUGGGGGAUCCAAUAAUAGGGUUUGAUUGUCUAGUUA